GCAGUCGAGCGAGAAGGCCACUUCGGUGGUACUCGAGCGGCGAACGGGUGAGUAACACGUGAGUAAUCUGCCCCUGGCUUUGGGAUAGCCACCGGAAACGGUGAUUAAUACCGGAUAUGACAGCUUCUCGCAUGAGAUGGUUGUGGAAAGUUUUUCGGCCAGGGAUGUGCUCGCGGCCUAUCAGCUUGAUGGUGAGGUAAUGGCUCACCAUGGCUUCGACGGGUAGCCGGCCUGAGAGGGUGACCGGCCACACUGGGACUGAGACACGGCCCAGACUCCUACGGGAGGCAGCAGUGGGGAAUAUUGGACAAUGGGCGGAAGCCUGAUCCAGCAACGCCGCGUGAGGGAUGACGGCCUUCGGGUUGUAAACCUCUUUCGGUGGGGACGAAGCGCAAGUGACGGUACCCACUAAAGAAGCACCGGCCAACUACGUGCCAGCAGCCGCGGUAAUACGUAGGGUGCGAGCGUUGUCCGGAAUUAUUGGGCGUAAAGGGCUCGUAGGCGGUUUGUCGCGUCGGGAGUGAAAACCAGGUGCUUAACACCUGGCUUGCUUUCGAUACGGGCAGACUAGAGGUAUUCAGGGGAGAACGGAAUUCCUGGUGUAGCGGUGAAAUGCGCAGAUAUCAGGAGGAACACCGGUGGGCGAAGGCGGUUCUCUGGGAAUGACCUGA
RNAcentral lists this ribosomal RNA (671 nucleotides) under bacterium 08-L049658-122-015-H01. RNAcentral's name for it is "bacterial SSU rRNA". It matches the Rfam family "Bacterial small subunit ribosomal RNA", at positions 57 to 743 of the family's 1533-position model. The record is from RNAcentral.